AAGACUCUAUCUUCUUUUCUUUAUUGUUUUUCUCGUUCUUUCCUUUAUCGCUUCUUUUCUUUAUUGUUUUUCUCGUUCUUUCCUUUAUCACUUUUUCUUUUUUUAGAUAGUUUAUUUCAUUUUAUUUCCCUUUUAGUUGUUUAUUUUGCUUUUUAGUAUAAUACAUGAGUCUGACGAGUCACCAAAUAUAGUAGAUCUUUAGUACAAUCCUACCUUCCCAUACCUUUAGCCCCACCGAAACAUCAGUAUUAUUUUAGCACCAUAGACUUCGUAAAUAUAGGAACCACUCCCGAAAACCCAUAUACCAUGGCCUUAAUCAUCAUUUC
Molecule: long non-coding RNA, 326 nt
Filed under: Lathyrus oleraceus (garden pea)
Lineage: Eukaryota; Viridiplantae; Streptophyta; Magnoliopsida; Fabales; Fabaceae
Description: Pisum sativum (pea) long non-coding RNA (PSAT_LNC012336)
Source: RNAcentral